UACGGGGGGAGCAAGCGUUGUUCGGAUUUACUGGGCGUAAAGAGCUCGUAGGCGGUUUGUCACGUCGGAUGUGAAAACCCGAGGCUUAACCUCGGGCCUGCAUUCGAUACGGGCUGACUAGAGUUCGGUAGGGGAGACUGGAAUACCUGGUGUAGCGGUGAAAUGCGCAGAUAUCAGGAGGAACACCGGUGGCGAAGGCGGGUCUCUGGGCCGAUACUGACGCUGAGGAGCGAAAGCGUGGGGAGCGAACAGG
This 253-nucleotide ribosomal RNA is filed under the name uncultured bacterium. RNAcentral's name for it is "partial 16S ribosomal RNA". It matches the Rfam family "Bacterial small subunit ribosomal RNA", at positions 524 to 776 of the family's 1533-position model. The record is from RNAcentral.